Molecule: long non-coding RNA, 888 nt
Filed under: Homo sapiens (human)
Lineage: Eukaryota; Metazoa; Chordata; Mammalia; Primates; Hominidae
Description: HSALNT0256321
Source: RNAcentral
UUAAGGUAUGCUGUUUCUUUUUGAUAUUGUUGAUUUCUUUAGGUGUAAUAGUGGCAUUUACAACGUUGAGAGAAACAUACUGAAAUACUAAGAAGUUAACUGAUCUUAUGGCCAGGAUGUGCUUCACACAAUUCAGACAGGUAGAGAGAGGAGGAGGAAGCAAGGAGCUAUAAGAUAAAUCUCUGACAGCUGAAGACAUUGGUCAUGGGUUGGUGAUGGAUAGAUGAGAGUCCAUUUUACUGUUUGCUCUACUUUUGUAUAGUUGGAAUUCUCCAUGAUAAACUGUUUUAAUAAAACUCCCCCCACCCAAAUGAGGCUUCUGCAGAACUUGCUGCCAUACGGAACAAAGCCACUUCUGAUGUGUUAAGUGAGCAAACUCCAAACAUGAAGCAGAGACUGCAGCGAGCCGAGGUCCCUACACUGCACUCCAGCUUGGGCAACAAAAUGAGACCCUGUCUCAAAAAAUAAAAUAAAAAAAUAAAAACUGACUUAUGAAAAGUUGAAAGAGGAAGAAACACCUUUGAGUCAGCUCACAAGAUGCUCUCCCUGCUUCCUAAGUCCUGGAUACAUCCACCCACCCACAGCACAGGAUGGAGAGAAGUGGUUGCGGCCUUCUGCCACCAGGCGAGAUGUGCGUCCUGACCCCACAGGAGCAGACGUGUGGGCCAAGACCACCCUUGUGGGCGUUAUUGCAGCCUGUUAAUCCCUCCUUCCCAGGAAGGGGUAUGGUGGGAGGGCCCAGAAAGCAGGGCUGGGGGUAGAGGUGGCCCCUUCUGUCCACACGCCAUGAGGUCGUUCCCACUCUCCAGCACUUGACCGUUUAGUAAAAACGAUGAGCUGAAAAACCACAUGCAAUAAACAAGAAGGAGCAGCCAACAAAAUCUCUUA